RNAcentral lists this ribosomal RNA (240 nucleotides) under uncultured bacterium. RNAcentral's name for it is "partial 16S ribosomal RNA". It matches the Rfam family "Bacterial small subunit ribosomal RNA", at positions 15 to 244 of the family's 1533-position model. The record is from RNAcentral.
GAUCCUGGCUCAGGAUGAACGCUAGCGGCAGGCUUAACACAUGCAAGUCGAGGGGCAGCGUGGAGUAGCAAUACUCUGACGGCGACCGGCGGAAGGGUGCGUAACACGUGAGCGACUUGCCCGAUACAGGGAGAUAACCGGUGGAAACGCCGACUAAUAUCCCAUACGACAUGAGGCUGCAUGGCCGUUUGGGUUAGUAAAGGUUCCGCCGGUAUCGGAUAGGCUCGGCGGGACUAUUAG